GGUCUGGUGGUCUAGUGGUAUGAUUCUCGCUUAGGGCUCACCCUACAGCAACGCUUGCGAGAGGUCCCGGGUUCAAUCCCCGGCCAGACCC
RNAcentral lists this transfer RNA (91 nucleotides) under Poronia punctata. RNAcentral's name for it is "tRNA-Pro". It matches the Rfam family "tRNA". Rfam says of the family: Transfer RNA (tRNA) molecules are approximately 80 nucleotides in length. Their secondary structure includes four short double-helical elements and three loops (D, anti-codon, and T loops). Lineage: Eukaryota; Fungi; Ascomycota; Sordariomycetes; Xylariales; Xylariaceae. The record is from RNAcentral. RNAcentral also lists the same sequence under 1 other name.